This is a long non-coding RNA of Camelus dromedarius (Arabian camel), 3530 nucleotides long. RefSeq lists it as uncharacterized. The record is from RefSeq and is a predicted model, not a curated record. Lineage: Eukaryota; Metazoa; Chordata; Mammalia; Artiodactyla; Camelidae. The transcript has 5 exons.
CUCCUUCCUGUUUUCCCUGCAUCCUGCUCUCCUCUGGCUAACAAGCUGCAGAGGAUUGAGGAAGUGGAGCGGUCUGGGACCCAAGGCAGGAAGCUUGGGGCCUGAGUCCCAGCAUCCGGACUGCAACAAUGGAAGCUUCAAGCACCAGGAAAAGAGACAGACACAGACAGGGGCACAGGGAGAGCAAAACAGAGUUAGAGAGGGAACAGGAAACAGAGGCAGAGGUAGAGAAAGGCCACUAGAUAGAUUCCAAAAGUAACAGAGAAAGACAAGGACAAAGACCGAGAGAGAAACAGUGACGGAGACACGGAGAGGAAGAGCGACGGAAAGAGACUUCAGCAAAACACCUGCCAGGAGAAAGGAGUAGGAAACCUGUGUCCCAGGACAGGAGCAGGUGCCCAGGCCUGGCAGAGAGACCCCUACCUUCCCAAUGCCAUCCAGAGAGCUAGGCAUCAUCGGGAGGUUGGAGAUGGAGGGAUUUGGCAGAGUCUUCCUUGAUGGUGUCAACAGGCUGCUGGAGACUUGAUAACAGUUUCCUUGGCUGACCCUGUCCGGUUCCAGUCGGGCCCUGCCAGAAAGCUGCAGGGGAGCCAUGCUGAAGUGCAGAUCAGAGACCCUCUUCCUGCUUCCUCUCCCAGGGCAGGGGUCUUUCAGUCUCACCUGGAUUGGGCCCUCUCCUACUUUCUGCAAGUGCAAAGUGUCCAGGCAAUAGGAGGAAGAGGAGCUGACAGCUGGGCCUGCAGGGACAGAACCAAAAGUUGCAAACUGACGGCACCUACUGGCAACCAUCAAGACUGCAGAAGGGCUGGAGGGCUCCGGCCCAGACAAGAUUCUGGGAUUCUCUCCAUGCCAUCUCACAGAUGAACUAGAGUCUCUUCUGCCCCAUCUGCCUUGGAGAAGGGCAAAGCUGUCAGAAGCAUUCUAAACAAAUGCUAACAGCAAAAGACUACAGCACAGAGUGCAAGAUGGAUGGAGUGGAUUAGAGCAGACGUGGCAUUGAUAGGAAUCUGGGCCCCAGGCCUCCGCAUAACUUUGGCUUCCCAGCCCCUUCUCUGGCUGCCCUGGACUGCGCACUGUGCCCACACUGAAUAGGGAGCUUGGCUUCCCUCCAUGUCGGCUGUCUAGGUGCCAGGCGUGGCAUCCUCCGCAGUCAUCCCAAGUGUGGGCUGAGCAGUGGCAUGUGAGUCCGGCUGCCUUCUUGCCCGCCAGGGCCCCACACUUGGAGAGACCAGAUCCGGAGAGCCAGGAUCUCCAUCAGGACUCCACAGUGCAGAGGGAAGUCUGGUCCAGAGGACAGAGUCUGAGUCCUUCUUCAGGAUGUGCAGCUCCAGAAGUGAAGAUCGAGACAGGGGAGAGGGUGGGGAGAGGCGAGCCCAUCUGCAGUGGGGCUGGCCAGGAUCAUUUCACAUCUUCAGUCCAUCCAGCUGUGCUCCUUGCCGGCUCUGUGGCCACUUCCCCUUCCUCAGCUCCAGUUUUACCAGCUAUUCAGUGGGGGAAGGGAACUCAUUGAAUUGUGAAGCCCAUUCCAGCUAGAGCACUGGAGGAAUCUAGAACCUCUGGAGUCCUUGUCCAUGGUCCUCCGCCCAAUGCUGGCAUGACUUCCAACCUUCCAGAGUUGACACUGUUUCCAGGCCUAUGGGCACCAGCAGAAUCUCAAAGUCUGCAGAGACGAACCAAGUGAAUGAUAUUGGGCUCUAGGAGAGCUCUGUCACCACCCAAAGAGGGGAUGAGGCUCACCCAAGGACACACAGCUAGUAAGGAAUCCAGCUGAGACUUAAGCCAAAUACAGUUGCUGCCUACUACAGAUUUGGCCCCCUGUACCAUAGGCUCAGGACUCCAGGAAGGUGGAGGUGGGGGGAGAAAAAGAAGGUGCUACCUGGGAGAAUCUAUGCAGAGGGCACUUGCAAAAGAAGAGACACAGAAAUGACUCAAGGCAGAGAGAAACAGAUGUUAGCGUGGGAAAAUCAUUCUCCCUGCCUCCCCGACACCUGUGAAGUCAAAGAGCACGGUGUCUGCUUGCCAGGUGCCUCCUGGCCUGGCAGAUCAGAAGCCCAGAAUCAGAGCAGACCCUGUGUCCUUCUCCCAAGCUCCUUGGAGGGCCUCCAGGCCCUGUCUCCUACUCCCCUGGCCCUGGAGAACAGUGCUACCUACCCCAAAGAGAUUCUACCCAGGGACUGCUGAACCCAGAGAGACCCCCCACAAAAGGGCUCUUGAAUUAGAUACCACGCAGAGGAGUCCUCAGAUUUAGUAAAACCCCAGAGGGGACCUGGGUUCCAGAGAAAUCCCAACACUCACACACACAGGGGCCCUUACUCCCCAGCUGCACGCCUCCCCUUCUCCCUACCAGCACGAGGAGCGCAAGAUAGCUCCGGUCAGGCCUUCUGCUUAGUCCCAGACCUCUCUUCUGGCCCCAUCAUCCCACGCCCAGAGCCAGGAUCUCUGGUCCCUCACAUCAGGCUUCGUGCCUUGUCCUUUCUCUCCUCCCCACCCCACCCCUUUCUCUCCUUCCCCCCAGCCUUUCUCUUCUCCAUACACAGGAGAACAUCCUGGCCUGAGGGGCUUCCCAAGCUUGGUAACCAGACAUGCCAGCAUCACUGGGGAAAAGUGGGGAAGACCCCCCUCCCCCAGAAAAGUGAGUGGAUCACAAGAGAGGAAGGGGAAGAGGAGUAACUCCUGUCUCCAUUUCCUAAUCUGAAAACUGGGAAGAUAACUGCACCAAACUCAGAGGAAUGUUAUGAGAAGCUAUACAUAGUACAGGCUUCUGGUUAUACUUCACUUGAUAAAUACAUAUGGAAAACCAUCGUUGGAUAUUAGUACCUGUCCACCAGAUCGGUAAAAAUUUUAAAUAUCGACAACACCACAAUCUGGAGUAAGGGGACUCUCCUGCAAUGCUGGUAAGAAAUCAAAUUUGUAUAACCCCUCGGGAGCAACCAACGAUUCCACCCGGAGAAUACAGCCAAUAGAAGUGUCUCUGUGUGUGUAUGUGGGUGUAUUCCAAAACCCAUGUAUAAGAGUAUUCAUAGCAGCACCAUUCAGCCAAACGCUGGCGUCAACAGUAGACUAGAUAAAUCUACAAUUGAACAAACUAUCACUACAUCCAACAACGUAGAUCUAUCACCUAUUGAACAGAUUACUACUGUAUGAUUCUAUUUCUAUAAAAAACAGCCCAAACUAAUCUAUGGCUUUAGAAAUUAGGAUAGAGGUUACUUUGGGGAAGAAGGAAGGGGUCUUAUGGGAAACAGGAAAUGUUUAUUAUUUAGUUACAUAGUGUAGUGAACAUUCAUUGAGCUAAACAUUUGUUUGUUUGUUUGGUAUGUAAUGCUUUCUUUUUUUUUUUUUAAGAAGAAACAUUAUUGUUUAUUUUUUUAAAAGAGCGUUGGUUCUCAAGUCAGCCUGCCUGCACUAGAUUCCUGGCAGUAGAUAGAUGGUAAGUUAGCUCACCUCUCUGCCUGAGUGUCCUCAUCUUUCCUCUUAAGUGACUACUAUAUAGGGUGGCUAUAAUGAUUAAAUGAAUGAAUCUGUGUACAGUG